GAGACCGCCAUGAUGACUUGCAAGCAACUCACUGCACUUAGGCACUGGACUACCUAAAUUUUUAAUUCAGUGACGGAAGGCUGCUGGGUGUAGUCAAGUACUUGACUUGUCGGUGCGUGUGUCAAGAUGGGAUUGACCACUCCAGUUUAGGAGUUGUGUAAAGUCGUGUUUCAAUUUAGUAAAAUCUUGGCCAGGGUAGUCCUUGUGAGGAGUCACAAGACUGUUUGAGUUGAGCACGAUUCAGAUGAUCUGAUCAGGGUUGACAGUUUAACCCUGAGUCAUCCUAAACACAGGGGUCAAAAGGAUGAAUUAUACAGUAACCAUAUUCAUGUAGGUU
This 337-nucleotide long non-coding RNA is filed under the name Elaeis guineensis (African oil palm). RNAcentral describes it as "long non-coding RNA (EGUI_LNC054266)". The record is from RNAcentral. Lineage: Eukaryota; Viridiplantae; Streptophyta; Magnoliopsida; Arecales; Arecaceae.